RNAcentral lists this ribosomal RNA (2900 nucleotides) under Klebsiella pneumoniae. Its description in RNAcentral is "bacterial LSU rRNA". It matches the Rfam family "Bacterial large subunit ribosomal RNA". Lineage: Bacteria; Pseudomonadati; Pseudomonadota; Gammaproteobacteria; Enterobacterales; Enterobacteriaceae. The record is from RNAcentral.
UUAAGCGACUAAGCGUACACGGUGGAUGCCCUGGCAGUCAGAGGCGAUGAAGGACGUGCUAAUCUGCGAAAAGCGUCGGUAAGGUGAUAUGAACCGUUAUAACCGGCGAUGUCCGAAUGGGGAAACCCAGUGCAAUUCGUUGCACUAUCGUUAACUGAAUACAUAGGUUAACGAGGCGAACCGGGGGAACUGAAACAUCUAAGUACCCCGAGGAAAAGAAAUCAACCGAGAUUCCCCCAGUAGCGGCGAGCGAACGGGGAGCAGCCCAGAGUCUGAAUCAGCUUGUGUGUUAGUGGAACGGUCUGGAAAGUCCGACGGUACAGGGUGAUAGUCCCGUACACCAAAAUGCACAGGUUGUGAACUCGAAGAGUAGGGCGGGACACGUGGUAUCCUGUCUGAAUAUGGGGGGACCAUCCUCCAAGGCUAAAUACUCCUGACUGACCGAUAGUGAACCAGUACCGUGAGGGAAAGGCGAAAAGAACCCCGGCGAGGGGAGUGAAAAAGAACCUGAAACCGUGUACGUACAAGCAGUGGGAGCACCUUCGGGUGUGACUGCGUACCUUUUGUAUAAUGGGUCAGCGACUUAUAUUCUGUAGCAAGGUUAACCGUAUAGGGGAGCCGCAGGGAAACCGAGUCUUAACUGGGCGUUAAGUUGCAGGGUAUAGACCCGAAACCCGGUGAUCUAGCCAUGGGCAGGUUGAAGGUUGGGUAACACUAACUGGAGGACCGAACCGACUAAUGUUGAAAAAUUAGCGGAUGACUUGUGGCUGGGGGUGAAAGGCCAAUCAAACCGGGAGAUAGCUGGUUCUCCCCGAAAGCUAUUUAGGUAGCGCCUCGUGAAUUCAUCUUCGGGGGUAGAGCACUGUUUCGGCUAGGGGGUCAUCCCGACUUACCAACCCGAUGCAAACUACGAAUACCGAAGAAUGUUAUCACGGGAGACACACGGCGGGUGCUAACGUCCGUCGUGAAGAGGGAAACAACCCAGACCGCCAGCUAAGGUCCCAAAGUCAUGGUUAAGUGGGAAACGAUGUGGGAAGGCACAGACAGCCAGGAUGUUGGCUUAGAAGCAGCCAUCAUUUAAAGAAAGCGUAAUAGCUCACUGGUCGAGUCGGCCUGCGCGGAAGAUGUAACGGGGCUAAACCAUGCACCGAAGCUGCGGCAGCGACACUAUGUGUUGUUGGGUAGGGGAGCGUUCUGUAAGCCUGCGAAGGUGACCUGUGAGGGUUGCUGGAGGUAUCAGAAGUGCGAAUGCUGACAUAAGUAACGAUAAAGCGGGUGAAAAGCCCGCUCGCCGGAAGACCAAGGGUUCCUGUCCAACGUUAAUCGGGGCAGGGUGAGUCGACCCCUAAGGCGAGGCCGAAAGGCGUAGUCGAUGGGAAACAGGUUAAUAUUCCUGUACUUGGUGUUACUGCGAAGGGGGGACGGAGAAGGCUAUGUUAGCCGGGCGACGGUUGUCCCGGUUUAAGCAUGUAGGCUGGUUGUCCAGGCAAAUCCGGAUAAUCAAGGCUGAGGUGUGAUGACGAGGCACUACGGUGCUGAAGUAACAAAUGCCCUGCUUCCAGGAAAAGCCUCUAAGCAUCAGGUAACAUCAAAUCGUACCCCAAACCGACACAGGUGGUCAGGUAGAGAAUACCAAGGCGCUUGAGAGAACUCGGGUGAAGGAACUAGGCAAAAUGGUGCCGUAACUUCGGGAGAAGGCACGCUGGUGUGUAGGUGAAGUCCCUGCGGAUGGAGCUGAGACCAGUCGAAGAUACCAGCUGGCUGCAACUGUUUAUUAAAAACACAGCACUGUGCAAACACGAAAGUGGACGUAUACGGUGUGACGCCUGCCCGGUGCCGGAAGGUUAAUUGAUGGGGUUAUCCGUAAGGAGAAGCUCUUGAUCGAAGCCCCGGUAAACGGCGGCCGUAACUAUAACGGUCCUAAGGUAGCGAAAUUCCUUGUCGGGUAAGUUCCGACCUGCACGAAUGGCGUAAUGAUGGCCAGGCUGUCUCCACCCGAGACUCAGUGAAAUUGAACUCGCUGUGAAGAUGCAGUGUACCCGCGGCAAGACGGAAAGACCCCGUGAACCUUUACUAUAGCUUGACACUGAACAUUGAGCCUUGAUGUGUAGGAUAGGUGGGAGGCUUUGAAGCGUGGACGCCAGUCUGCGUGGAGCCAACCUUGAAAUACCACCCUUUAAUGUUUGAUGUUCUAACGUUGGCCCCUUACCGGGGUUGCGGACAGUGUCUGGUGGGUAGUUUGACUGGGGCGGUCUCCUCCCAAAGCGUAACGGAGGAGCACGAAGGUUAGCUAAUCCUGGUCGGACAUCAGGAGGUUAGUGCAAUGGCAUAAGCUAGCUUGACUGCGAGCGUGACGGCGCGAGCAGGUGCGAAAGCAGGUCAUAGUGAUCCGGUGGUUCUGAAUGGAAGGGCCAUCGCUCAACGGAUAAAAGGUACUCCGGGGAUAACAGGCUGAUACCGCCCAAGAGUUCAUAUCGACGGCGGUGUUUGGCACCUCGAUGUCGGCUCAUCACAUCCUGGGGCUGAAGUAGGUCCCAAGGGUAUGGCUGUUCGCCAUUUAAAGUGGUACGCGAGCUGGGUUUAGAACGUCGUGAGACAGUUCGGUCCCUAUCUGCCGUGGGCGCUGGAGAAUUGAGGGGGGCUGCUCCUAGUACGAGAGGACCGGAGUGGACGCAUCACUGGUGUUCGGGUUGUCAUGCCAAUGGCACUGCCCGGUAGCUAAAUGCGGAAGAGAUAAGUGCUGAAAGCAUCUAAGCACGAAACUUGCCCCGAGAUGAGUUCUCCCUGAGACUUUAAGUCUCCUGAAGGAACGUUGAAGACGACGACGUUGAUAGGCCGGGUGUGUAAGCGCAGCGAUGCGUUGAGCUAACCGGUACUAAUGAACCGUGAGGCUUAACCUU